AUCGUUCUCCGCCUUAUGUCAUGAUGGUCCGUUUACCUAUCUUCUUCUCUACCGUUUAUGUCUUUCUCAUCUUCACUACUAUGGGGUUUCACCAUCUCACCUUCAUAUGCAUUCAUUGCUAUUCCAAUAACUUCACUCCUCUAUUAUGUGCUUUUACUUAGGGUUCGUCGAUUCCAAUCUUCAUUGUAACGGCGAGGAUUCCAAAUGGUAAGGAUUGUUCUUCAAUUCCCUCUUAUUUAACUCUUGGUCCACUACUACACCUUCUUAUUGUCGUAAUUCAGUCAUUUGCAUAUAAUACAUCAUCUCACUAAUUCAAUUUCUCACUUCCCAAUCUGCCAAAAAAAUCCAUUGUGGCGAUCAUGGAUCCCCUUUCGUAUCUUUUGCGGAGCUUAAACCUAGCCGCCUUGAGCAACAAUUACUAGGUAGAUUGCUCAGUUUCAAGCCUGUACGUAAUGUUAAAAAUCCGGCCGACUUCUGCCUUCGAAACUUCCAUCACGCUAUUAACAGCUUGCGUUUGUACCUGAGAUCGAUGAAUCGGGAACCAUGUCUUGCGAAGCUAUCAAGUAUUCUGUGUGAUCGAGCUUUGUACUCAUGGGGAGGUAGAGACAUUAUGAGGAAAGUUGUUGUACUGAGUGAGUUCUUGCUUCCAUGAAGAUAUGGAUUCUGAAGCUACAAGCACACUUAUGGCUGCAGCAGAUAAAUGUGUGUCGGUUGACCUUCUUUUGUUUGAGAACCAGUCAUCUAAGCCCAGGAGAAGACCUCAGAUGCUUAUCGGAUCUUAACAAUUGUUCAAUUCAAAAAAGCUUUCCUGAUGGAAAAUCACUUCUUAGCCUUGAAAAGAAAUGGUUUCAGGAGCUAAAGGAUGACACUGAAGAAUCACUGCUGGCCAGCAGAUGCAGUGUCUGGUGAAGAAGAAUGCACGCCUGCAUCUUCUACUGUGCACCUAACCAACGAACUACCAAGAAAAACCCCCCAACCAACGCUGAAACAGAGGGGCAAAAAAACACAGCAAGAAACUAAAAAAUGUAACCAAAAAAAACCCUAUACCUAAAUAAUAAAAUCAAAGAAGCUACCCGAGAAAAAUCACAUCGGAAACACAAAUCAACUGUGGAAAAGUUCAAUUGC
Molecule: long non-coding RNA, 1125 nt
Organism: Camelina sativa (false flax)
Lineage: Eukaryota; Viridiplantae; Streptophyta; Magnoliopsida; Brassicales; Brassicaceae
Source: RefSeq, a predicted model, not a curated record